GUGGGGAAUCUUGCGCAAUGGGCGAAAGCCUGACGCAGCAACGCCGCGUGCGGGAUGAAGGCCCUCGGGUUGUAAACCGCUUUCAGUGGGGACGAACCAAGACGGUACCCACAGAAGAAGCCCCGGCCAACUACGUGCCAGCAGCCGCGGUAACACGUAGGGGGCAAGCGUUGUCCGGAUUCAUUGGGCGUAAAGAGCUCGUAGGCGGUUCGAUAAGUCGGGUGUGAAACCUCCAGGCUCAACCUGGAGACGCCACCCGAUACUGUCGUGACUAGAGUCCAGUAGGGGAGCGUGGAAUUCCUGGUGUAGCGGUGAAAUGCGCAGAUAUCAGGAGGAACACCAGCGGCGAAGGCGGCGCUCUGGGCUGGAACUGACGCUGAGGAGCGAAAGCGUGGGGAGCGAACAGGAUUAGAAACCCUUGUAGUCC
This 427-nucleotide ribosomal RNA is filed under the name uncultured bacterium. RNAcentral describes it as "bacterial SSU rRNA". It matches the Rfam family "Bacterial small subunit ribosomal RNA", at positions 354 to 796 of the family's 1533-position model. The record is from RNAcentral.